ACCGAGAUGGGGCAGUUGGUAGAGGGAGGAAGCGGAUAGGGAAGAGGAGGGAAAAAGAGAGAAAAAAAAAAAAAAAAAAGGAGAACAAAGAAAUCGCGAUCCAGAAGGUGGCUGUACUUCUUGGGCUGCGGGGGAAAACUUGAGGGCUGCCGGAGGAGCAGCCAGCAGACGGCUUUGUCUGAAAGGGCUUGCAAAAGCACCACCUAAUCCUGCUGCUCCCCUCCCAUGCUGAAGGGAAGGAGGGAUCCUGGGAGCCAGAGAGGGGGAACUGCCGGGGACUGCAGCGUCGCGGCGGCCGGGGGAGAGCUGAAGUUCCCCGCCGAGCGCUGGGGCUGGUGCUGGGUGUGGGCGCCCGCAGCCCGGGGCGGGGGGGUCCGGGCGGCCCCUGCCCUCGCUGCCCCGCACGCUCGGGGAUUACUGGGCGUUUCGAGCCAACAGCAAAACUAGCAAGAUUUCAAAGUGAAAUUCCGGAGGAAAUUUAAAGAGCAUCCGGAUCCGGAGAAAGAAAGAAAGAGGAAGGGAGAAAUAAAUCAAAACGUGGAGAGAAUCUCAGGCAGCUGAAGAAAGGACGGGAGAGAAAGAAGCUGACACCCAGGCAGAGAUGGGGAAAUGAAUCACUGUGGAGACAAAACCAAAAAGGAGCCUCAGUCCAGCUAGGAGACCUGAGAAGGAAGCUGUUGGAGGAGAGACGCGUACUAACUCCACUGGCCUGUAGUCUGUCUUACCCUUACUAACAAAUGUCAACAACUAGGGAGCAGCCAAUCUUCAGCACCAGGGCACAUGUUUUCCAGAUCGACCCUGCCACCAAACGGAACUGGAUCCCCGCCAGCAAGCACGCUUUAACUGUCUCCUAUUUCUACGAUGCCACACGCAAUGUGUACCGGAUCAUCAGCGUGGGGGGCACCAAGGCGAUCAUCAACAGCACUAUUACCCCCAACAUGACCUUCACAAAGACGUCCCAGAAAUUCGGACAAUGGGCAGACAGCCGAGCCAACACGGUGUAUGGAUUGGGCUUUGCUUCAGAGCAACAUCUGUCCCAGUUUGCAGAGAAGUUCCAGGAAGUGAAAGAAGCAGCCCGUUUGGCAAGGGAGAAGUCCCAGGAUAAAACAGAGCUGACCAAUCCUGCCCUGAAUAUCACAUCUCACCAGGUACUUCCCAGCCCCAUCAUCAGCUCCAAUGGGCCAGGAGAAGAUAAACUAUUCCGGAGCCAAAGUGCCGACGUCGAAAUAACAACAGAGAAGGAGAGGUUGAAGAAGAUGCUUUCAGAAGGUUCAGUGAGUGAGGUCCAGUGGGAGGCCGAAUUCUUCAGCCUCCAGGACAACAACAACAAGCUCGUGGCUGCUCUCCAUGAAGCCAAUGCCAAUGUGGACCAGUGGAAGAAGCAGCUGGCUGCUUAUCAGGAGGAGACGGAAACACUGCGGCAGCGGGUAGCAGAACUGGAGUCACAGGGGGCUCAUGAUUCCUCCAGCGAGAACAACAAGGAAGAGCUGAGCCAAACCCUGGAGGAGCUGGAACUACUGAUCAAGGCUAAAGACGAGGAGAUUCAGAUGCUAAAAAGCCAGAAGUGUGGCCGAUGGGAAGCAGAGGGUGAGCGUGAGGAGACACUGCAGAAGCUGCAGGAGCUGGAAACACGCAAUGCAGAGCUGGAGCAGCGUCUUCACCUAGCUGAGCAGACGCUGGCAGAGACCCUAGCCGAGAGGGAGAAGAUCCAGAAUGAGGUCACCAAGGUGGCAGAGAUAAUGGAUGUGAAGAUAUUUGAGCUCAGUGAGAUCCGGCAGGGACUAGCCAAGCUGGUAGAGAGCAACUGAGCAGCAGCACGCUCAGAGGAGACACCUCCGGAGGAGGGGAACCCCAGCUGGGACUGGUCACUGACAGCAAUUACGGUCACAGAACAGCCUCGAGGUCUGUUUGGGCAGGAUACGCCAACAUACCAGCAGCUGCCUGGACAGUGUGGAGACCAGCCGCAGCCACUUACUGCCCGCUGAACACCCAGACAGCGGGCAGAGAGGACCUGAGCUCCUGAAUCCUCUACAGGGAGCAUCUACGAGUCACAGCCAGACCUCUCUGGACCCUGUCAUGGCUGUGGCGUGGUCCAGAGACAGCAGCUGUCCCCGUGCUGCCUUCCCAGCCUCCCUGCUGCCACACUGUGUCUCCCACGUUUUUACAGUUUUCUAAGGGAAGGGGCUGAGCAGCCUUCGCGGUUUUUUCAGUAGUUUUUUAGGAAACCACUUGCCUUUUGCAACUAAGCUGCCUGUUUCCCUGCCUAGGGAGGGAGGGAGAAGUUCUAGCACACUGAGGACAACAGUUGCUCCUUCUCUUCCCCAGCCCUAACUACAUCGCGUCUUUCUAACAGGAUCCGGUAACACUGGUCACUGUCAGGAGCUUCCAGAGGUAGCAAUGUCCCCACUGCAGAGAAGGGCGCUUGCCUGCCCGUGUGUCCUUUCCACUGUUCAGUCACACCCUCCAGAGGAAAAAGAACUGCAGGUCUGCAGAAACUCCGGUACUUAGCAAGGCCUGGCUGCCAAGUACUGCCCUCUCCGCACCCAGCCGAACCUCGGCAGACCUGUGGGAAGGCGGUGCGGCUCCUCGGAGCCUGCCUCUCCUUUCACUCGCCUGGUGACCAUGAGAGGAACCCACAGCUUCCACGCGCUGCCUGCAAGUCAGGGCAGGAUUAGGUCUGGCACCUCGGGUAUCUGCUGGAGUGGAGAACUGCUGGUGACUCUGUGCUGGAUUGUGUCUAGGCAAAGCCCUUCCCUGUGCCAGGAGUGAUGAGGAAACAUUGAGAUUUCCAGACCUGCAUAGCCAUGGAAAGGAGCAGCCUUCUUUUGAAAUAGAGAUCAGCUCCAAGAAAGCAAGGUGUGAUUCUCUGCUCUGAGUCCAGACCUGAGACAAGGUCCUUCUGGCCAGCUCAGCAAGAGGAAAUGGAGCUUCGCUAUUGCAGGACGUGCCAAUAACAGAGCCUCAGAAAAAAGGAUGUGUCCAAUGCAAACUCCAUCUGACAUGCCAAUGCAGGCCUUCCAGGCUGAAGAGGAAUGCAAAUCCAGUCCAGACCUAGAGCUGACCUGGCAGUCAGAGUGGCAGACCACCAACAGCUCUGCCACUGCCUUGCUCUGCAAACUCCCUCGCCUCUCUGGGCUUUGAUUCCUCCUCUUUCACAAAGUAGAUAAUUACCCUCCCUGAAGGACUGUUGCGCUUCAAUUACUCACAUCUACAAGGUGCCUGGAGAGCCAAGAGAAGAAAAGGCUAGCGCAGGCCAGACUGGUUAAUAUCUUAAGUCCGUUGAGUGAUUUUGAACAAGAGAUUGUGGUGUGUAAAGGCAGUUUCUGCUCCGAGGGAAAAGAACAUGAGCUACAGCACUAAUCAUCUCUGCACAAGGUCCUACCUCCUCCGUCGGCUUCCCUCCACCCUACCAAAAAAGCAGCAGCUGCAAUAAUGCUGGAAAUGAGACACUUGUGGUAAGAGCAAGCGACACUUCAGACACAAGAGAUGUGGCAGCUCCAGAAACAGGUAAAACUUCACCACCCUGAAGGGGAGCGAGACAGACACACACUGCAGCAGUGAGGGAGGAACUGUCAUUCCUUUUCCACACUGACGGCAUUACACCAGCUACUGAUCAAAGUAUAGUUUAUACAGCAGCAACUCUCACCUUCCCUUCAAGGAUCAUUUGUUUCCGCUUAUUUAUUUCUUUCUUCUCAUCAAAAUCCAUUCCCUCCAGUUCCUGUAAAAGCAAAAACAUAGCAGGACAAUCAGUAACCAAGCACCAAGGCUGACCCAGAGAAAAGCAGUACAGCAGAACCCCACCAGCGUGCACACAUUUGGUAGCCUUCUCCCCAAAGUACCAGCCUCAACACUCAGCAGCAUAAAAAUGCUGCAAAAAUGUGCAAUAACAGACCAAACCUAGGGAAGAUAACUAA
Grus americana (Whooping crane) is the source of this 3914-nucleotide RNA transcript. It is a transcript of the gene named homer scaffold protein 3, with no coding region annotated. The transcript has 15 exons. Lineage: Eukaryota; Metazoa; Chordata; Aves; Gruiformes; Gruidae. The record is from RefSeq and is a predicted model, not a curated record.